UCCCUCUCAGGGUCGCACCUGGAGAUAUUCCAGUAGUCUACCAGUCUUGGCUGUGGGAAGGAGAAUCAAGCAGAGGCACAUCCCUUCCGUUCCUAGCUUGGGCAGUGGCUGGCGAAUGGAAGGCACUCUGCUACAAGU
Molecule: small nucleolar RNA, 138 nt
Organism: Ornithorhynchus anatinus (platypus)
Lineage: Eukaryota; Metazoa; Chordata; Mammalia; Monotremata; Ornithorhynchidae
Source: RefSeq, a predicted model, not a curated record